GUUAACCAAAUGAGGUAUGAAACAGAAUACAUUUUGCGGAAUAUGUAAAUAAUCAGCACAUAGUAAAUUAAGGAGUCAGGGAUUUGAAAUUACUGAUUUGGAGAGAAUAACAAGGGUUUCCAUGAAUAAACAAAUAAACCACGUCAGAAAUAGAAGAAUUGUAAGUCUAAGGAAAGUUUUCAAAUAAACCCAAGAAAUAGGGAAAUCAGUAAGGAAAAACAAGAAAAGAGUCAAUCACUUAACACAUGAAUGCAAUCAAAAUUACACAAGGAGGUUUGAAGUCAGUUCAAAAUUGAAGGCCAAUUAAGAGGGAACUUCAGCAUAUAAAAGAGUGCAUAAGUAUCAGGAAUGCAACGCUGAAUUUAGGACAAAGAAAAUAGUCACAUAACAGUCACAUAGGUCGAUCUCACCAACUUAGUAAUAGAGAAAGGGGAGAGUAUCAGAAACAUACAAAAAUGUCAAGUAGAGAGCCUUUUUGAAUAUGUAGUCGAGUUUCAAUAAUAUCAGGAGAUCAAAAUCACAUAAAGCAACAGAAGUUGAAACAAAUAUUUUAAAACUCGAUCGAGCAGUAGAUGAAACAACUUCAGAUACUCGAAUAGGUCCAGAGAAAUUGGUGUUCUGAAACCAAACAAGUUCAGAAAUGAGAAACAAGAAAACCACAUAGCAAAUAGACUCAAAACUCGAAUGAACCCCAAAUUUCAGUGUUUUCCCCAUUAAUCGAGUGUAAAGAUGGAAGACAAGAGAAUUAGGCAAAAAUAUCAACAAAGAAAAUAAAAUCGGAAACCUUAAGAAAGAACUAAGACUUAUAAAGAAACAUGGUAGAAGAACAACAUAAGAAACACAGUGGAAGAACAACCUAAAUGAGAAGAACCUCGAAGGUUAGGGUUUCAUAAGAACCCAGUUGGUGGGAAAGGUUUGGAAAGUCAUUGAUCUAAGCAUCAGAAGUCACGCUCAGGCUUGCACAGCCAUGGCUGGCCGGAACAAGGUCGCAGACAUUCAUAUAACUCGAAUGAAACAAAGUCUGAGCCAAGCUUCUCCAAGGUAUAACCUUGAAACCAUAGUAAUCAGGCGUGUAGGAGUCAUAGGAGGCUGGUACAGGCCUUUAAUAGAUUUGGAAGCCAUGUAUUCAGGCGAUUUUAGGGUGGAAGCGGAGGGAGGCGACUAGGAUUUGAGGGGAGCUUGAGAGAGAAUUGGGAGGAGGGGGAAUUCAAG
This 1212-nucleotide long non-coding RNA is filed under the name Nicotiana benthamiana. Its description in RNAcentral is "long non-coding RNA (NBEN_LNC013570)". The record is from RNAcentral. Lineage: Eukaryota; Viridiplantae; Streptophyta; Magnoliopsida; Solanales; Solanaceae.